GGCUCUUUGGCGAUGUGGUCAGCGCGUCAGACUAUUACCCGGGAGUUUGGAGGUUCAAAUCCCCGCCUGGGCCC
This is a non-coding RNA of Gymnothorax javanicus (giant moray), 74 nucleotides long. NCBI's taxonomy places the organism in Eukaryota, Metazoa, Chordata, Actinopteri, Anguilliformes, Muraenidae. The record is from the annotation of a GenBank genome assembly.